RNAcentral lists this non-coding RNA (31 nucleotides) under Mus musculus (house mouse). Lineage: Eukaryota; Metazoa; Chordata; Mammalia; Rodentia; Muridae. The record is from RNAcentral.
UGAAAUGCUUUUAUGUGAACUUCAGUUGUUC